Molecule: transfer RNA, 74 nt
Filed under: Pteropus alecto (black flying fox)
Lineage: Eukaryota; Metazoa; Chordata; Mammalia; Chiroptera; Pteropodidae
Rfam family: tRNA
About the family: Transfer RNA (tRNA) molecules are approximately 80 nucleotides in length. Their secondary structure includes four short double-helical elements and three loops (D, anti-codon, and T loops).
Source: Rfam by way of RNAcentral
GGUUUCAUAGUGUAGUGGUUAGCACGUCUGCUUUACGUGCAGAAGGUCCUGGGUUUGCGCCCCGUGUGAAGCCA